GCCGGGUGUGGUGGCUCACGCCUGUAAUCCCAGCACUUUGGGAGGCUGAGGUGGGGGGAUCACCUGAGGUCAGGCUGACCAACAUGGUGAAACCCCAUCUCUA
Chlorocebus sabaeus (green monkey) is the source of this 103-nucleotide non-coding RNA. It matches the Rfam family "Metazoan signal recognition particle RNA". From Rfam's summary of the family: The signal recognition particle (SRP) is a universally conserved ribonucleoprotein. The record is from Rfam. Lineage: Eukaryota; Metazoa; Chordata; Mammalia; Primates; Cercopithecidae.